GACGAACGCUGGCGGCGUGCCUAACACAUGCAAGUCGAGCGGAGUCGAUCGACGGAAGCCUUCGGGCGGAAGAUGGUUGACUUAGCGGCGGAUGGGUGAGUAACGCGUGGGCAACCUGCCUCGAAGACCGGGAUAACAGUCCGAAAGGGCUGCUAAUACCGGAUGUGGUCAAGGAUCCGCAUGGAUUUUUGAUUAAAGGGGAAACCCGUUUCGAGAUGGGCCCGCGUCCUAUCAGCUAGUUGGUGAGGUAAAAGCUCACCAAGGCGACGACGGGUAGCCGGCCUGAGAGGGUGACCGGCCACACUGGAACCGAGACACGGUCCAGACUCCUACGGGGGGCAGCAGUGGGGAAUCUUCCACAAUGGGCGAAAGCCUGAUGGAGCGACGCCGCGUGAGCGAAGAAGGCCUUCGGGUUGUAAGCUCUGUCUGGAGGGACGAAGGAAGUGACGGUACCUCCGGAGGAGCCACGGCUAACUACGUG
This 481-nucleotide ribosomal RNA is filed under the name uncultured bacterium. RNAcentral describes it as "bacterial SSU rRNA". It matches the Rfam family "Bacterial small subunit ribosomal RNA", at positions 28 to 507 of the family's 1533-position model. The record is from RNAcentral.